Molecule: long non-coding RNA, 3906 nt
Filed under: Homo sapiens (human)
Lineage: Eukaryota; Metazoa; Chordata; Mammalia; Primates; Hominidae
Description: HSALNT0217355
Source: RNAcentral
CAGGAAUGCAUGAAGGAAAAGACAGUGCCUGGAUUUCCUGGCACCGUUCAGGCAUGGGAUGCAUAUUUUGUGUUCCCUUCUAAUUGCAUUUCUAGAUGUAAGUCUCUGAUCCCCACAAGCCUUGUCAGUUCAGAUCCAGGGGUGGUUUCUUGUGCUGAGUAUAAGAGUAUGAUUGACCGUAGGAUGCAUAGAAUUUUUGGUUUGGGGACUUUCAGCAGAAAUGUGCAACUCAAGCCUGCAGCUUUGAGUUCCUGAGGCCAAAGCUGUUGUCAGGCAUUUGGGAAGGGGAGCAAGUACAAAGGUGGUAGAUAAGUUGGGAUGGAUCUUUCUGGAUCAAGUGCAUCUUCAUGGAGCAGGAGGGGCACCUUCUCAGUGCCAGCACUUCUCUGUUGAUGGAAGCUGCAUCAGGCAGUUGGAGAGAGAGACGAACUGAGAAGUGUGGAGGAGUUCCACUACCAUUCCCUUCCUCCCAGCUUAUUCCUCCAUACAAAUUGAUCGUUUCUAAUUCACCAUAUUUCCCAUAUAAAAGUACAAGAUGAGAGUUAGCAUAGUUUCAUAUAUGUGGCCCAUUUUACACAAAAAUUAUUUUACUUUUCACACAUUUAAUUAUGUGGUACUAUUAUUUUAUUGGGGAGAAGAUUUCCUUGAUUUGGGUCUGAAGUUAACCCCAGUAUUUUACGGCUUGAGAAGUGGAAGAAAAGGAGUCUGGAAUUUGGCAAAGAGUUAAGAUCUCGGAGGUGAGUAAUGGCUUCAUAAAGACUGAAUUAAGAAAACAGAUGUAUCCUAGGAAGCUUUGCCCAGAUCUGAGAAAUAUGAGCAGUGCUCCCUCUCGACUGCUUUUCUGCUGGGUUACGGUCUGUCGCUGUAGGAAUUAACAGGACUCUGCAGAAACCAUCCUGCUCAACCGUCAGCACCUCUGGCCACAUGAACCUCUGGGACCUUAGGGUUGGACAUGGGCUUUGGGGGAUCCUGAAGCAGAUAUUGAGUGAUCAACAACUCAUGCUAUAAGGUGUUGAUUGAGAUGACACUUGAAGUUUCUCAGGCUUUUUAGGAUGACUUUGGAGGCAGGGAAGUAGAAUUAUACUGCUAUGAGCUGUGUACCUUGCUGGCUACAUUCCUCUUUUCAGGCUUCUAAACCCAGAUAUUAUUACUAACUAGAGAGUGUGCUCCAGAUCCUCAAAUAUUAAUUCAGGAUUUGAGGUGAGCAAUGAGAGUAGAUUUGAAGUUGCCAUUUUGGGGAAAUCAUUACAUUGUGGCUUUAUGUGAUGUAGGGCGUGAGGGGGUCUGGUAUGUUCCCAGGAUGCCUCUAGAGUCUGCACAUAGGCUUGUGCACCAAGGGGUCUUCUGCUGUUCCAGUGCUCUCCUGGCGACCUUUGUGAGACCACCUCCUUGCCCCUCAUGACAUAGAACCCUCCCCAUUCACUGAUCUUGAGCCUCCAUCUGUCUAAUCACUCUUUGAUAAAAAAAUGAGCAUGGCUUCAUGUCAAGCUGCCAUAUUCUUUCCACUCUCUUGACAGUCCUUUGGUGCCAAUUGGCUACUGAGAGCCCCAGUGACCGAUGGCGUCCUUAGGGUAGGUGCCAGUGGAAUGCAAAACACAUUGUGCAUUGUGAUGAAGGGUGGUUAAUGAAAGGGGGGAUGAAACAAGCCCAUACGGUAUUGUGGAAAGAAAAUCUAUACUAAAUGAAACAAACAAAAAAAAGUUUUCCACAAUUUAAGCCUCGAGAAUUGAUAUUAAAUUUUCCUGAGGGGUGAGGUCAGCAUUUGGAGAGCCCAGAUGCUUUAGGAAGGCUAAAUGGAAAGAACAGCAAUCUCUAAAGGGGGGAAAAGAAAGAAAGAGAGAGAGAGAAAGAAAGGAAAGAAAGAAAAAGAAGGAGGGAAGGAAAGAAGGAAGGAAGGAAAAUAAAAUGAAAGAAAGAAAGAUGAAAGAAGGAAGGAAGGAAAGAAAGAAAGAAGAAAGAAAGAAAAAGAAAGAAAGAAAAAGAAAAACAGAGCUGUGUUUCCUGUGUGCUGCUCUCCUUCAUCCAGGUCCCCAACUCCCUGAAGGGGACUAAAGCCUAGGAUAGAAUUUGGAGGAUGAGCUGUUUUGUUUUGUUCUGUUUUAUUAAAACAAAGAACAGUAUUUCAUGCUCUUGACAAGGGUGAACAGUCAUAUGACUCUGAGGUUUCAUUCCUCAGCACUAGGGAUGACCGAGGAGGUGUGAUGGGGUGGGGUGAGCAGGCAGGCCUCCGUGGGGCACUCUAUCCUAGGCCCACACCUGCUUCAUGGACCUCUCCAGGGUAUUCCUUUCUCCUAUGUCCUUCUUUUGGGUGGCUGCAUGGAAAGGGACUAUUUACAUUGUAUCAGCCUUUGCACUUCCCCACCAACCCAUCUCCCUAUACCCCACAUCAAUGCUUGUGGAUGUGAAAACACAAUUUUCUGCCAUUUCUAUGUAGAGGGAUGCUCUGACAUGCAUUUAUAGAAAUGUUCCUCUACUGUCUCUUCACAAUUAAUUAUGCUUGGAGCUUUGGAGCCGUUCAUGGGCUUCUCCAUGUGUGCUUCAAGUCAACCAACUUGGGGAUCUGCUUCAGGCCAAGUAUAUCCUGUUGGAGCAAUCCUCCUGCAGGUAACACCCACUAAAUACAGGUUGAGUUUUAUAUAUGUAAAUGCUUAAAUAUGAAUGUUGUAACUAUUUUACAUUAAUAGCAUAUUGAUGUAUUAUUUCAUAUUAAUAUCCAUAUAAUUGAUAUAGCAAUGCAAAUAUUUGAAAUGUUUUAAAUAUAUUAUUUAAUGGUAAUAAUAUGCAUAAUUUUAAAUAGAAAUAUAAGAUAAACUAUAACAGCAACUCUCUGAAGACAUUAGGGGGCAGUCAGAAACAGGCAGACACUUGGUUAUAGGGGAAUGGGACUGGGUGAGUUUCUCAUUGUUUUAUGGUUUUCAGCCUGGGGGAAGUUCCAAGUCCCUGCCAUGAAGGACAGCUUAAAUUCCAAUGGAAAAACCUGCAGCUUCACUGGCAUGAAAAACCAGAGGAUGGAGUUUGGGGCAGUCACAUGAGUUAGAAAAUGAGGGGAGAGUGCAGUCUCAGAAAGAAGAGCGUCAUGGUUGGGGGCGCCCUAAAUCCUGUCUAUAUACGCUGCCCAACUCUGACUGUCCCUGAAAUAUGCACACAGGGAAGACUGUAAGCAAUUCACCUGAGAUUGAACAGAGACUUCAGUUUCCACCAGUGCAGGGGAGACCAAGUUUGCAGUUUUUGUUCAGCCAGGCUAGCUGACUGUUUAUAUAUAUAAUAUAUGCAUGCAUACAUACAUAAGAACAUAUCACAGUUAGAAGAACAUGUCAUAAUCAAGAUUGUUUAUAAAAUUUCAUUCACACUGUCUAGGAAGUCAUCCAAAAUGAUGCAACAUAUGAAGAAACAGGAAAAUGUGAUGCACACUCAAAAGCAAAGACAAUAAACAGAGACACAGCAAACCUUGACUGAGGAUAUGACCUUUAGAAUGACUAGGAGGCUGAUUUCAAAAGUAGUAACCAAAAGGCUUAAAGACUGGCUUCAGGCCACCUGAAAGACAAAGCGUGACCUCAGGUAUGAAGGUUUGGAGUGCAGAAGUGUGAGUUUUGCUGCCAUUAGCCUCAAUUUUCAUACAAGGCUUUCAAUUUCUAAAAGCCUUACCCAGCUGGUGUCUCUGAUGAGAUGCUUAAAACAUAGUACUGCAUAAAGUGACCAGGUAGAAACGAGAAUGUUUUAAAUUGAGCCUGUCAAAAAAAUAAAUAAAUAAAUAACAUCCAUGCCUGUACCUGGUGAUAAGGAGAAGGAAGGGCACAUGGUCAGCAGGGGGUACAAAGCAAGCUUUCUGGGCUCGGAGGGAUCGUGGGCAGGCAGGCAUGUAUUUCUUGAUGGAACUCUGAGGUUCUUACUUGCACCCUUUCCUGG